This 520-nucleotide ribosomal RNA is filed under the name uncultured bacterium. RNAcentral describes it as "bacterial SSU rRNA". It matches the Rfam family "Archaeal small subunit ribosomal RNA", at positions 345 to 866 of the family's 1478-position model. The record is from RNAcentral.
AAACUUCACAAUGGAGGCAACUCCGAUGAGGGAAUUCCAAGUGCUAGCACAUUAGUGUUAGCUUUUCUUAAGCAUAGAUAACUUAAGGAAUAAGGGCUGGGUAAGACGGGUGCCAGCCGCCGCGGUAAUACCCGCAGCCCAAGUGGUGGUCGAUUUUAUUGAGUCUAAAACGUUCGUAGCCGGUUCAUUAAAUCCUUGGGUAAAUCGGAUGGCUUAACUAUCCGAAUUCCGGGGAGACUGGUGAACUUGGGACCGGGAGAGGCAAGAGGUACUUUUGGGGUAGGGGUAAAAUCCUGUAAUCCUAAAAGGACCACCGGUGGCGAAGGCGUCUUGCUAGAACGGAUCCGACGGUGAGGGACGAAGCCCUGGGUCGCAAACGGGAUUAGAUACCCCGGUAGUCCAGGGUGUAAACGCUGCAGACUUGGUGUUGGGGACCCUUCGGGGGUGUUCAGUGCCGGAGAGAAGUUGUUAAGUCUGCUACUUGGGGAGUACGUCCGCAAGGAUGAAACUUAAAGGAAUU